UACGUAGGGUGCAAGCGUUGUCCGGAAUUAUUGGGCGUAAAGAGCUCGUAGGCGGUCUGUCGCGUCUGCUGUGAAAACUCGGGGCUUAACCCCGGGCCUGCAGUGGGUACGGGCAGACUAGAGUGCGGUAGGGGAGACUGGAAUUCCGCGUGUAGCAGUGAAAUGCGUAGAGAUGCGGAGGAACACCGAUGGCGAAGGCAGCCCCCUGGGCCAACACUGACGCUCAGGCACGAAAGCGUGGGGAGCAAACAGG
Molecule: ribosomal RNA, 253 nt
Filed under: uncultured bacterium
Lineage: Bacteria
Description: partial 16S ribosomal RNA
Rfam family: Bacterial small subunit ribosomal RNA
Source: RNAcentral